AUCUAUGGCCACACAACCCUGAAUGUUCCUGAUCUCUUCUGAUCUCAGAAGCCAGGCAAGGUUGGGCCUGGCUAGUAUUUGGAUGAGAGACACCUGUUUCAAAUCUCCUUGCUGCUGUGUCAGAUC
Molecule: ribosomal RNA, 126 nt
Filed under: Prolemur simus (greater bamboo lemur)
Lineage: Eukaryota; Metazoa; Chordata; Mammalia; Primates; Lemuridae
Source: RNAcentral